Long non-coding RNA from Chinchilla lanigera (long-tailed chinchilla), 385 nucleotides. RefSeq lists it as uncharacterized. The transcript is spliced from 2 exons. The record is from RefSeq and is a predicted model, not a curated record. NCBI's taxonomy places the organism in Eukaryota, Metazoa, Chordata, Mammalia, Rodentia, Chinchillidae.
GGAGGAUUGCUCCAAGUUCAAGACCAGCCCAGGCUACAAAUUCUACUUUUGACAUCUGAUGAGUGAGAGAAAUUCACAGAAAGCCUGUAGGAUGUCAAGACGAAGUAACACUCAAGGAAGUAAACCCAACAAGUGAACUUGAUUUCAAGCAAAAUCAGGGAGUCAAAAUUCCUCCUCUGUGCUCAGCAGGAAUAGUUUGGAGGAGCCCUGGCUACCGAACUACUGGAAAAUUUUAUGUGAAAAAAAAAACAUUUAUCAACAAAACAGUGGGUGAGGCAAGAUGAUCACAAGUCGGAGGCCAGCCUGGGUAACUCAAGUGAUUUGGUAAGAAAUAAAGUUAAGGGGUUGGGCGUUAAUGCAAAGGCUCUGGUUUCAAUCUCCAGUA